UGUGGGAGCGAGCUUGCUCGCGAUGGCGGUGUGUCAGACACAUCAAUGUUGAAUGUGCUGCCGCUAUCGCGAGCAAGCUCGCUCCCACA
RNAcentral lists this unclassified non-coding RNA (89 nucleotides) under Pseudomonas jessenii. Lineage: Bacteria; Pseudomonadati; Pseudomonadota; Gammaproteobacteria; Pseudomonadales; Pseudomonadaceae. The record is from RNAcentral.